RNAcentral lists this ribosomal RNA (219 nucleotides) under uncultured Lactobacillus sp. RNAcentral describes it as "partial 16S ribosomal RNA". It matches the Rfam family "Bacterial small subunit ribosomal RNA", at positions 143 to 354 of the family's 1533-position model. Lineage: Bacteria; Bacillati; Bacillota; Bacilli; Lactobacillales; Lactobacillaceae. The record is from RNAcentral.
GAGACACNUGGAAACAGAUGCUAAUACCGGAUAACAACAGAUGAUGCCUAUCAACUGUUUAAAAGAUGGUUCUGCUAUCACUCUUGGAUGGACCUGCGGUGCAUUAGCUAGUUGGUAGGGUAACGGCCUACCAAGGCGAUGAUGCAUAGCCGAGUUGAGAGACUGAUCGGCCACAUUGGGACUGAGACACGGCCCAAACUCCUACGGGAGGCAGCAGGC